Molecule: ribosomal RNA, 253 nt
Filed under: uncultured bacterium
Lineage: Bacteria
Description: partial 16S ribosomal RNA
Rfam family: Bacterial small subunit ribosomal RNA
Source: RNAcentral
UACGGAGGGUGCAAGCGUUAUCCGGAUUUACUGGGUUUAAAGGGUGCGUAGGCGGGCCGGUAAGUCCGUGGUGAAAUCUCUGAGCUUAACUCAGAAACUGCCAUGGAUACUAUUUGUCUUGAAUACUGUUGAGGUAAGCGGAAUAUGUCAUGUAGCGGUGAAAUGCUUAGAUAUGACAUGGAACACCAAUUGCGAAGGCAGCUUACUGGACAAAUAUUGACGCUGAGGCACGAAAGCGUGGGGAGCAAACAGG